UUGGAAACUAAGGAUCGAAGUUUGUCUUGUAGGUUUCUUUUGACCUUUUUUUUCUUAUACUUGUCUGCUUUUUGAUGAAUGUUAUUUAUUUUUAUUUGUUUCUGUUGUAUGUUUUUUUUUUCUAGGAAUUUCUUAAUUUGAGUUUAAUUAUGUACCUUGCCUAACAAUGAAUUACACACUAUAAACCAAAGGCCCUUGGCCUACUUUUCUAAUUGAAGUUUGAUGAAUUGAAGAUUAAUUUCGGAACUUAGGUAUACUGUUUUAUGCUUCUACCCAAAUUUCCAUUUUUUCUAUUGUUUUUUAUCAAUCCGUUUCUGUUGAUUGCAAUCUGAUUUGUCUGACAACUUUUAAUUGAUUCAUUCCCAUUCAGUAACACUCAAACUAACCUAGGUAGUCAGGUGAGGAUCACAACAAUUGGCUCACAACUUUUAAUUUUUGUUUGUCCUAACUCUUAACUUGUUGGCAUCUUAAACUUGGCGCCAAAAUUUCAUAAGGCGGACGGGAAGUACUAAUAGACAUUCAAAUUAUUUGUAUUGUUGUGCUUUAUGCAUUUAUCUUUUAAAAUUCUAAUAGUUUGUAUCAUUGUGAUUUUGAUAGGCCAUUCUCAAAUUUAUCUUGAUUUUGGAGAGGUUGCUUUACAUGCAUGAUGCUGAUCGUAGUCUAGGACCAUUUUUCGGUUCAUGCUUAAGCUGGUAAUAAUCUUAAUUUCAUGGACUUGAUAGUUUAUUUAUUUAAGCAUGUUUGUUAUGGUCAUUGCUUUUAUAGUGUCAGUUGGUUUUUGCUAAGACUUGGCAUCAAGGAUUCUGCUCCAAUGACCUUGAAACACAGCUGGCCUAGGAUGUCCCAAUCAAUCUUCCGUUCGACGUUAAACCCUCAUCAAUUCAUCAUAUAUCAUUUUCGACAGUGAGCAGGGUAAGAGGAGACUAUCCCCUUUUAUAUCGAAACUAUGGUAGUUUGAUGAUCUGAGAUAUUUCAUUUUGAUUAAGGUUUUGGUGAGAUUCUCUCUUCAUUCUUUUUCGUUUCAUGAAGAGACCCAAUGUGAUUGUUGUAAGAAACUUAUUAAUGUUUUUAAGGAGAAGAAUAGAGUCUAGAACCGUGAGAGAAAGAAAGAGAGUUAUUGAAUAGUCUACUUUAUUUUUGGAGAGUCAUUGGAGCAGAAUCCUUGAUGUCAAGUCUGAAUGAUUGAGAUUGAGAGUUAUUGGAUGAAUGGCUUUAUGGAAGUUACCAGGCCAAGAAUUGUGCGAUAUCCAAUCAUUGGUGAAGACUUGUAUCCAUUUGAGGGUAAAGAGAAGAUUAAAGUCUAGAACUGAAAAACAAGAUUGAAGUCUAGAACUGAAAAACAAGAUUGAAGUCUAGAACUUUAUUUUGUUUCGAUCCUACAUAAACAACUUGAAGAGUAUAGUUCUAGAAAUAAGGUGUUUGUUUAUCCACAAGGGGAGAACAUUCAGUAGUUAUUCCUGGGCUUCUUGGCUAGAAAGCCAGUUUAAUUGCGUAUACUGGGGGAGGAGUUGAGGGAAUAGGUUUUCUCUCGACUUCUGUAAAAUGGGUUAUUAUUCGUUUGGAUCUUGUGUUGGAAUUUUUGGAUGAAGAGAACUGUUUUGUUCAGGAACGUACGUACGCUGUUAGGACGUUCGUACGUUCCAUUCGACAGAUGUUGGUUUUGUGGCUGAACGUACGAACGUCAAUUCGACGUACGUACGUCCUAUCUUGGUUUUGUGUAUAUGGGCCUGUUUAAGCCCAUUUCGUGUGUGUUUUGUAUGGCUAUGUUAUAAAGCCAAUUGAGAAGGUUGGAAAACCUAAUCUUCAUGUGAGAGAGAGAUUGUGAGAAGCCAUUGGUGAGUUUGAGAGAACUCUUGUGAGGAAGAACACUUUAGUUUCUUCGUGAGGGCUUGUAAAAUCGUCUCAAGUUGGAAGAUUGUUGUUUUGGUCGUGGACGUAGGCAAUAUUAGCCGAACCACGUAAAUCUUGUGUUUUUGUUUGUUUUUGUUUUGCUUUGUUUAAUUCACACACUAUAUCAAUUUUGGGUAUUGGUGCAUAAGCUUCCGCUGCGCACAACAAGUGGUAUCAGAGCUGCAGGCUAGAUCUUGAGAGCCUUGAAGGUGUUUGAAGAAAUUUCUGCAGGUGAGUUUCUUAUUUGUGGUUUAAGGCAAAAGUUCUAUCUUGUAUCCGUGGGUUGUCAAGAAGGUGUUUGUUGAAAUUCCCGUGUGAAUUUCAGAUUUGUUUACCUUCGAUUGGUGAUUGUUUAGUGUGUGAAAGUGAUUAGUGAUGUCAGACCCAUCUUCGAGUAAGAAUGGAAAAGUGUCAUCUUUGAAGUUUGACAUCGAGAAAUUCAAUGGUAGAAACAACUUCGGCAUGUGGCAAUGCGAAGUUCUGGAUUUGCUUGCUCAGCAAGGUUUGGAAGAUGCUUUGGGUGAUAAACCUGAAAAGAUGGAAAAAGAUGAUUGGUUGAAAUUGAAUAGGCAAGUUUGUGGCGUGAUUCGCCUUUGUUUGGAAAAGGACCAGAAAUACUCGGUGAUGAAAGAGACGUCUGCUAAGGAGUUGUGGAAGAAAUUGGCUGAUAUGUAUAUGAAGAAAAGUUUAGAAACCAAGCUGUUUCUGAAGAAAAGGAUCUUCCGCAUUGAUAUGAGACCUGGUAUUUCUUUGUCUGAACAUCUGGAUGAAUUCAAUAGGCUUAUUGCUGACCUAUUGAACUUGGAUGAGGUUGUCAGUGAUAAUGACAAGUCUCUAUGUCUUUUGAACUCUCUCCCCGAUGAAUAUGACCAUUUGUCCACCACUUUGUUGACGGGGAAAGAAUCUGUAUGCUGAUGUAGCAACGGCGUUACUGAACUAUGAAUGCAGGCGCAAGGACAAAGAAGUCCAUAGGGGUUCAGGUUCAACGUCCGAGGCUUUGAUGGUAAGGGGACGAUCCAAUGAUCGUACUACUGGUAGCGGAGGAAGAUCUCGAUCAAAGUCUAGAGGUAGACCUCUAGCAAAAGAUGAGUGUGCCUUUUGUCAUGGAAAAGGCCAUUGGAAGGUUGAUUGUCCCGAGUUGUCAAAGAAGGAAGAUUCUGUGUCUUCCAAAGAUAAUAAGGUAAAUGUCGCACAUGAUGAUGUUAGUGAUGAUGAUUCAAAUUAUUCUUUGGCUGUUAUGGUUGAUUGCUCCACUCAAGGGUGGAUUAUGGAUUCUGCAUGUUUUCACCAUUUGUGUCACAGUAGAGAUUUGUUUUCUAGUUUUCAAAAGCUAGACUGUGAAGAUGUUGUGUUAGGUGAUGGUCGUCACAUGAAAACACUUGGUGUGGGAACUGUCAAGUUGAAGUUGGAAAAUGGUACAGUUAAAGAAUUAGUUGGUGUCCGGUAUGUUCUGGAGUUGAAGAUGAAUCUCAUCUCACUUGGUACUUUAGAGUCCGAAGGUAUGAAGAUUGUUCUGCAAAAUGGGGCUUUAAAGGUUGUUUCUGGUGUUUUGAUUGUUAUGAAAGGGACAAGACAACGAAAUUUGUACUAUCUUAACGGUAGUGUUGUUGGUUGUGGUGGAGAUUCUUCUUCACAUUUGGUGGAUUGUUUGACUCCUCCCAGUUUGUCAAAUUGUUUGGUUGAUUGUGGCUUUGGUAGGCGUACCGGCAAGCAUGGCUUGUUGAAUGGUGGUAAGGUACGUAAAGUUUGUUUUGGGCAUCCUUGUUUGAAUGAUAGUUUGAAGUUGGAAGAGAUAUCUCAGCAGGUGGAGAUUGAUGCCGCUCCUUAUGAAAGUUUGUCUGGUAACACAGCUGAUGUUAGUUUGCUAGCCACAGAUGUUUGUUUGAAGGUUCAAGCCCAGGAGCCAAUUGUAGCUGUGAAGCCGUUGUUUGGAGACCUUUGUAGGUUUCGGGGUGUUGAUUCAUACUCAUCUUCAGUCGGUUAUGGUCAUAAAGUGGAGAUAGUAUUUGGUAGUUUGGACCCCAUUGUUUUGAAUUAUGGUUGUUGGCCCUCUACGGGCAUUGGUGGGCAUUUGUUUUGAUUUGGUCCCUUGUGGGAUUUGACCCUUCGGGGUAUGGUGGGCAUCGUAUAGAUGUCAUUGGAGUGAACUACGGUGGUUUGAUCUCUUAGAAGAAGGGUACGUAGGCAACCAUGAGGUGGUGCAACCGCUUUGGUCCUUCGGGACAUGUGUGGGAGUUUGUAACUUGGUAUCGGCUUAGAUUUAUUGAAUCUUCGCCGAGGUGGAGAAUUGUUGGAAUUUUUGGAUGAAGAGAACUGUUUUGUUCAGGAACGUACGUACGCUGUUAGGACGUUCGUACGUUCCAUUCGACAGAUGUUGGUUUUGUGGCUGAACGUACGAACGUCAAUUCGACGUACGUACGUCCUAUCUUGGUUUUGUGUAUAUGGGCCUGUUUAAGCCCAUUUCGUGUGUGUUUUGUAUGGCUAUGUUAUAAAGCCAAUUGAGAAGGUUGGAAAACCUAAUCUUCAUGUGAGAGAGAGAUUGUGAGAAGCCAUUGGUGAGUUUGAGAGAACUCUUGUGAGGAAGAACACUUUGGUUUCUUCGUGAGGGCUUGUAAAAUCGUCUCAAGUUGGAAGAUUGUUGUUUUGGUCGUGGACGUAGGCAAUAUUAGCCGAACCACGUAAAUCUUGUGUUUUUGUUUGUUUUUGUUUUGCUUUGUUUAAUUCACACACUAUAUCAAUUUUGGGUAUUGGUGCAUAAGCUUCUGCUGCGCACAACAUCUUGAUGGUUGAGGAUUUGUCAGAGAUGGGUCCUGUCUCAUUGCUUUUACAGCUCUUUUAUUACGUCGAUCCUUCAGAUAGUGAUUUGCAAUCCAAUACCUAAGGGCAGAGUAGUAAUGCUGAUGAUAUAGCGAUCUGCAAUCCAAUACCUUAGUGCAGAGUGCUUAAAGAAAACUUUGUAGUUACUUUACAGUAGUGAAGGGGCAUUUAUGAAAUCCGGCCUUAUCGCACUUUCACUGCUACUUACUUACAUAUCACAGUUUCUGAUGUCCCUUAGAGUUCCAACUUGCUUAAAUUUGUGGCAAAUAUGUUCAGAACAUUUUCAAAAAUGCUUAAGCUCUCUCUCAGAUACACCCACACACACAUGAAUUCAUCUCUUUCACAUUCUUGUUGUUUUUCAUCUCCAGUACUGUAAAUAUUCAAUUCACUUAAACCUUGAAGAUGCAAAUUAAGAAAGUCAAGCAUGCAACUGCACUAUAUAUGGGGUGUGACGAGCAAGAGUAUUGGGAGGUGUGUACAUGUGAGACAAUCAGGCAAGAAUUAAUUUCAGAGAGUGUACCAUGUGAAUAAAUGCGUUAUACUUUUGUGUGCUUACACCAUUUGCGAUUGCGUAAUUCUACAAUCCAAGAGUACAGUUUUCACCCCCUGGCUAUGUGCCUACAUGUGCAGGUCUUACAUCAAUCAGCUCAAGGUCGGAGAUGUAUUGGAAUGGUUUGUCGUUUGAGGUUCCUGAUUCAAGGAGUUCAUAUUAUGACUAUCCAGGAAGUUGUUAAUUAGUGCGUACAUGCAUGCUUUGAAUUUAGAAUGACUGCCGCAGCAGCUUGCCUCCUGAUCCGCUAUACUAGUUCCUCGUACUGCUUGUAUUCUGCAAACUGCAAACCAAUUGUUUUAAAGUUUUACCGUAGUACAAUUUUUGUUUUAUUGGUGGGAGGAAGCCCCUGUUUUGCUUGUUGGUAGUGAUGAUGCACCUCAGCACACGUGAAGAUUGUCCUGUACUCCUGUACUCGCCAAUGAGGGAAUGUUGACUGUUACAUAUGGUCGAGCUUUCUCAAGAAGGGAGUGAUGCAAGAGGCACAUCCCUGCUAUCAUGAGUAUGAACCCUACUUUGC
RNAcentral lists this long non-coding RNA (5777 nucleotides) under Aquilegia coerulea. RNAcentral describes it as "long non-coding RNA (ACOE_LNC001063)". Lineage: Eukaryota; Viridiplantae; Streptophyta; Magnoliopsida; Ranunculales; Ranunculaceae. The record is from RNAcentral.